UACAGAGGGUGCAAGCGUUGCUCGGAAUCAUUGGGCGUAAAGGGCAGGUAGGUGGUCUCAUUUGUCUGGGGUGAAAGCCUUCGGCUUAACCGAAGAAGUGCCUCAGAAACGGUGAGACUAGAGUCUUGGAGAGGUUAGCGGAAUUCCCGGUGUAGCGGUGAAAUGCGUAGAGAUCGGGAGGAACACCAGCGGCGAAGGCGGCUAACUGGACAAGUACUGACACUCAGCUGCGAAAGCGUGGGGAGCGAACGGG
This 253-nucleotide ribosomal RNA is filed under the name uncultured bacterium. RNAcentral describes it as "partial 16S ribosomal RNA". It matches the Rfam family "Bacterial small subunit ribosomal RNA", at positions 524 to 776 of the family's 1533-position model. The record is from RNAcentral.